AGUGAACGCUGGCGGUAGGCCUAACACAUGCAAGUCGAACGGCAGCACAGUAAGAGCUUGCUCUUACGGGUGGCGAGUGGCGGACGGGUGAGGAAUACAUCGGAAUCUACUUUUUCGUGGGGGAUAACGUAGGGAAACUUACGCUAAUACCGCAUACGACCUACGGGUGAAAGCAGGGGAUCUUCGGACCUUGCGCGAUUGAAUGAGCCGAUGUCGGAUUAGCUAGUUGGCGGGGUAAAGGCCCACCAAGGCGACGAUCCGUAGCUGGUCUGAGAGGAUGGGAGGGCAACUGGGAAGUUGAACGGCGGCCUGACGCCUGCGGGAGGCAGGAGUGGGGAAUGUGGGACAAAGGGGGCAAACUUUAAACAACCAUACGGCGCGGGAGAAAAAGGCCUUGUGGUUGUAAAGCCGUUCUGUGGGUAAAGAAAAGCAGCAGGUUAAUACCCUGCGGGUCUGACGGUACCGAAAGAAUAAGCACCGGCUAACUUCGUG
This 492-nucleotide ribosomal RNA is filed under the name uncultured bacterium. RNAcentral's name for it is "partial 16S ribosomal RNA". It matches the Rfam family "Bacterial small subunit ribosomal RNA", at positions 30 to 507 of the family's 1533-position model. The record is from RNAcentral.